GAAGGUAGAGCUCAGUGGUAAAGCACAUGCUUAGCAUGGAUGUGGUCCUGGGUUCAAUCCCCAGUCCCUCCA
RNAcentral lists this transfer RNA (72 nucleotides) under Camelus bactrianus (Bactrian camel). It matches the Rfam family "tRNA". From Rfam's summary of the family: Transfer RNA (tRNA) molecules are approximately 80 nucleotides in length. Their secondary structure includes four short double-helical elements and three loops (D, anti-codon, and T loops). RNAcentral also lists the same sequence under 1 other name. Lineage: Eukaryota; Metazoa; Chordata; Mammalia; Artiodactyla; Camelidae. The record is from Rfam by way of RNAcentral.